AGGGUAUAUGAUCUUGCUCUACUGUAUUGAUUCUUUUUGUUUCGAAAGACAAAGAUGUCUUAUCGAUGGUUAACUAUUAUUGUACAAGACGGAGAUUGAAUGGUAUCCUGGAAAUUGUUUGACUCGGAAGAUCCUAAAAAAGAAGCCAAAGAAGGGAUCCAAAAACACAAAGCCUAUCACGGUAUCACCAAGACUGAGGACUGUGAGAGUUUCUUCAAAUUUUUCAGUCCACCUCAAGUUCCUGAGGACGAAAAUGAUUUUGAUAAACAUGGUAUGGCCUUCUCCAAAAGCUUUUUUUAGUUUUGCUUUAGUGUUUCAGAAUGCGUUAAAUGUUAACCUGGUAAUUAUUUAUUUGUGCACAGGCUGAUGGACAAUGAAAAGUUUAGGAGUAAGCGUCAGGCAAAGAACAAGGAAGUUAGCGAAGGUUGAAAGCCUAUCAAGACUGGUUAUGGGGGUGUUCAAAAAAAAAAGACUGGUUAUUAGGGCUGGGUUCGCGGGUCAAUCCGCCCCGCAUGACCCGCCAACCCGCGGAUCGACUUUAUUUUUUAAACUCAAAAUUCCGACCCGCAUAACCCGCGAAAGAAAAAUCGUAAACCCGCAUUGAUAAACAUGGUAUGGCCUUCUCCAAAAGUUUUUUUAGUUUUGCUUUAGUGUUUCAGAAUGCGUUAAAUGUUAACCUGGUAAUUAUUUAUUUGUGCACAGGCUGAUGGACAAUGAAAAGUUUAGGAG
This 729-nucleotide long non-coding RNA is filed under the name Brassica napus (rape). RNAcentral's name for it is "long non-coding RNA (BNAP_LNC023336)". Lineage: Eukaryota; Viridiplantae; Streptophyta; Magnoliopsida; Brassicales; Brassicaceae. The record is from RNAcentral.